This 1523-nucleotide ribosomal RNA is filed under the name Corynebacterium diphtheriae C7 (beta). Its description in RNAcentral is "16S ribosomal RNA". It matches the Rfam family "Bacterial small subunit ribosomal RNA". Lineage: Bacteria; Bacillati; Actinomycetota; Actinomycetes; Mycobacteriales; Corynebacteriaceae. The record is from RNAcentral.
UUUUUAUGGAGAGUUUGAUCCUGGCUCAGGACGAACGCUGGCGGCGUGCUUAACACAUGCAAGUCGAACGGAAAGGCCUAGCUUGCUAGGUACUCGAGUGGCGAACGGGUGAGUAACACGUGGGUGAUCUGCCUCGUACUUCGGGAUAAGCCUGGGAAACUGGGUCUAAUACUGGAUAGGACCAUGCUUUAGUGUGUGUGGUGGAAAGUUUUUCGGUACGAGAUGAGCCCGCGGCCUAUCAGCUUGUUGGUGGGGUAAUGGCCUACCAAGGCGUCGACGGGUAGCCGGCCUGAGAGGGUGGACGGCCACAUUGGGACUGAGAUACGGCCCAGACUCCUACGGGAGGCAGCAGUGGGGAAUAUUGCACAAUGGGCGCAAGCCUGAUGCAGCGACGCCGCGUGGGGGAUGACGGCCUUCGGGUUGUAAACCUCUUUCGCUAGGGACGAAGCUUUUGUGACGGUACCUAGAUAAGAAGCACCGGCUAACUACGUGCCAGCAGCCGCGGUAAUACGUAGGGUGCGAGCGUUGUCCGGAAUUACUGGGCGUAAAGAGCUCGUAGGUGGUUUGUCGCGUCGUCUGUGAAAUUCCGGGGCUUAACUUCGGGCGUGCAGGCGAUACGGGCAUAACUUGAGUGCUGUAGGGGAGACUGGAAUUCCUGGUGUAGCGGUGGAAUGCGCAGAUAUCAGGAGGAACACCGAUGGCGAAGGCAGGUCUCUGGGCAGUAACUGACGCUGAGGAGCGAAAGCAUGGGGAGCGAACAGGAUUAGAUACCCUGGUAGUCCAUGCCGUAAACGGUGGGCGCUAGGUGUGAGGGUCUUCCACGACUUUCGUGCCGUAGCUAACGCAUUAAGCGCCCCGCCUGGGGAGUACGGCCGCAAGGCUAAAACUCAAAGGAAUUGACGGGGGCCCGCACAAGCGGCGGAGCAUGUGGAUUAAUUCGAUGCAACGCGAAGAACCUUACCUGGGCUUGACAUAUGCAGGAUCGGCGUAGUGAUACGUUUUCCCUUGUGGUCUGUAUACAGGUGGUGCAUGGUUGUCGUCAGCUCGUGUCGUGAGAUGUUGGGUUAAGUCCCGCAACGAGCGCAACCCUUGUCUUAUGUUGCCAGCACGUGAUGGUGGGGACUCAUGAGAGACUGCCGGGGUUAACUCGGAGGAAGGUGGGGAUGACGUCAAAUCAUCAUGCCCCUUAUGUCCAGGGCUUCACACAUGCUACAAUGGUCGGUACAACGCGCUGCGAGCCUGUGAGGGUGAGCGAAUCGCUGAAAGCCGGCCUCAGUUCGGAUUGGGGUCUGCAACUCGACCCCAUGAAGUCGGAGUCGCUAGUAAUCGCAGAUCAGCAACGCUGCGGUGAAUACGUUCCCGGGCCUUGUACACACCGCCCGUCACGUCAUGAAAGUUGGUAACACCCGAAGCCAGUGGCCUAACCCUUGUGGGGGGGAGCUGUCGAAGGUGGGAUCGGCGAUUGGGACGAAGUCGUAACAAGGUAGCCGUACCGGAAGGUGCGGCUGGAUCACCUCCUUUCU